AAAGUGUGGGAAAUUCAAGGAAACAAGUGACAAAAGGUGGUGAGUCCUCCCGAUAAAGGUAAAGAAAUUGCACCCGAGGACUAAUAGUCUGAGUACUUCAAAAAUCCCCACUCUAGACAUUGCUGGGUAGUAAAAUAUUAGCCCUGUCAUGCUGUCAAAAUUUUAU
Non-coding RNA from Theobroma cacao (cacao), 166 nucleotides. Lineage: Eukaryota; Viridiplantae; Streptophyta; Magnoliopsida; Malvales; Malvaceae. The record is from RefSeq and is a predicted model, not a curated record.